RNAcentral lists this ribosomal RNA (226 nucleotides) under Enterobacter hormaechei. RNAcentral's name for it is "partial 23S ribosomal RNA". It matches the Rfam family "Bacterial large subunit ribosomal RNA", at positions 492 to 721 of the family's 2925-position model. Lineage: Bacteria; Pseudomonadati; Pseudomonadota; Gammaproteobacteria; Enterobacterales; Enterobacteriaceae. The record is from RNAcentral.
GAACCAGUACCGUGAGGGAAAGGCGAAAAGAACCCCGGCGAGGGGAGUGAAAAAGAACCUGAAACCGUGUACGUACAAGCAGUGGGAGCCUCUUUAUGGGGUGACUGCGUACCUUUUGUAUAAUGGGUCAGCGACUUAUAUUCUGUAGCAAGGUUAACCGUAUAGGGGAGCCGAAGGGAAACCGAGUCUUAACUGGGCGUUAAGUUGCAGGGUAUAGACCCGAAAC